AUGCGUGAUAUUUUACAAGUGCCCACAAAACCCUCCUCCUCCCUCAAACCCACGCGAAGCCCUCCUCUGCCUAACCCACCGCCGAAACCCUAGCUCCUCCCCAAACUCAUCUCCAUGAAAACUCAUCUCCGCCAAAACUCAUCUCCAUGAAAAACCUAGCCGCCAAAACCCAUCGCUCGCACCUAGCCUCCUCCACCACAUCUCCACGCCGGCUGGGACCUUGCCUCCUCCGCCACUCCUUCGCACCGCCAACGACCUAGCUUCCUCUGCUACUCCUCCACGAUGCCUACGACCUAGCCUCCGCGGCUUAAAAUCCGAGGUGAUCUUCCUCUUUUUGAUGCCAACUUAAACAUUGGAACAUAGCUACCCAAUUUUGUUGCUGGAAAGAUAAUUCAUUUGGAUAUGUCAAUUUCUUUGCUUUUCUAUUUGAAUUUUUGGUCACUCCAUCACAUUGAGUUAUGCGAGGCAAAUAACUUGUGUUGGUAAAAUGGAGUUAUCGGUCUACUUCAUGGAUCAACUCACAGCAGACGAAAUAGUUUUCCAUAAGUCCUACUUCAAGUGCAAUAAUUACAAAGGAACCCUCACGGUAUCGUCGUUCGCCUCUGUUUGUGUUCUCCCUUUUGGAAUUUUAUGUUGUUAUUUGAACUUUACUUUGUAAUAAUCUCUUUUCAUUGGAAGUAGCGAGUUUGAGUAAGAUGUGUCAUCUGAUGCAUUCCAAAUAACUUGGAACGUCGAGAUUUCUCGUAAAUGAUCGAUGUUGUAGAUUUGAUAUUCGAGCUAGUUCUAUAGAGUAACUAAAUAUUCUAUUUUUAGAUCAUGAUAAAAGUAGAAAUUUUGUCUCCGUAUCUUGUUACUCGUGUUAUGCAAUCCAAUAGUUGACUCCUUUGUAAAUUUGUUGCUAAAAAAAAUGCAAUUUUGUCUAUAGUCUUUCUUUGUGUUGGAAACUUAGUAGGACUAAAUUGCUUUAGGUAGUAUCCUCAGAAAAAUAUAUAUCAAGAUUGAGUAAAUCUAGAAUGAUUCAUUGCUUGAUAACAUAUAGUGAGCAAGAUUACUAUUCAAGUGAGAGCAAAUUGUAGAGUGCCUGGGCUUUACAUUUUUUACAUCAGGAUUCUCAAAAUGAUGGCAAUAUGAAUCAAUGCAAGUUAUGUAUCCUUGCUUAAUUUAGAACUCCAAUGACAAAAGAAGUGUUGUUCCUCAUAACCUAUUUCUAGUUUAUGCUACUAAUAAGAAAUUGUAGCUCAAUAGGAUCAUCUGCAACCACUUCAACGUUGAGGUGAUGAUGAUGAUGGGAGGCUAUACUAUUUUGGCUCUAUUGGAUUUCAACUUUCUUAAUUCUGAUGGAAUAUUGCUAGAUAUUUUGAAUGGUAAAUGGAGAUAUUCAGAAACUCCAACUAAAUAGCUCGGAUAUGGAUGAUUAUAGGAGCAACAACUACAUGCUAUGUGACACUGCAUCCAAACUUCAAGGGUGUGAUUGGAAAGUAUUUCGACGAAGAACUAUUAAGAAGACUUUGAGAUUUAAACAAGAAGAUGGUUAAAGUCAAUUAGUAAAGAACAUUCAAGUCAAGUGGAUAAGUAGCAUUUAUCAAGAUUCUUUAAGUUCAUGCAAUAAGAUAUAGUUGAUAGGAGUAGUUUUGAGUGUUUCCUAAUUAAAAUUUCUUUGUAUGCAAGUAAUUAUAUUUGUUAUAGAUGUGUAAGGAUGAUAAUUUUUAUAUUGAUAUUAGUUGUUUAUUUAAUAAUAUGUUGUUGAUUGAAAUA
Zingiber officinale is the source of this 1755-nucleotide long non-coding RNA. RefSeq lists it as uncharacterized. The record is from RefSeq and is a predicted model, not a curated record. Lineage: Eukaryota; Viridiplantae; Streptophyta; Magnoliopsida; Zingiberales; Zingiberaceae. The transcript has 2 exons.